CCGACGGUGAGGGGUGAAAGCUGGGGGAGCAAACCGGAUUAGAUACCCGGGUAGUCCCAGCUGUAAACGAUGCGCGUUAGGUGUCUGGGAUGGUGCGACCGUUUCAGGUACCGCAGGGAUGCCGUGAAGCGAGCCACCUGGGAAGUACGGCCGCAAGGCUGAAACUUAAAGGAAUUGGCGGGGGAGCACUACAACGGGUGGAGCCUGCGGUUUAAUUGGACUCAACGCCGGAAAACUCACCUGGGGC
This 247-nucleotide ribosomal RNA is filed under the name uncultured archaeon. RNAcentral describes it as "partial 16S ribosomal RNA". It matches the Rfam family "Archaeal small subunit ribosomal RNA", at positions 691 to 937 of the family's 1478-position model. The record is from RNAcentral.